Daphnia magna is the source of this 45-nucleotide regulatory RNA element. It matches the Rfam family "Histone 3' UTR stem-loop". From Rfam's summary of the family: The mRNAs of metazoan histone genes lack a poly-A tail. 3' end processing occurs at a site between a highly conserved stem-loop (modelled by this family) and a purine rich region around 20 nts downstream (the histone downstream element, or HDE). The stem-loop is bound by a 31 kDa stem-loop binding protein (SLBP - also termed the histone hairpin binding protein, or HBP). NCBI's taxonomy places the organism in Eukaryota, Metazoa, Arthropoda, Branchiopoda, Diplostraca, Daphniidae. The record is from Rfam.
CAAUCGGCCCUUUUCAGGGCCACCAAAGUUUUAAGAAACGAAUUG